Molecule: non-coding RNA, 353 nt
Organism: Clostridium intestinale
Lineage: Bacteria; Bacillati; Bacillota; Clostridia; Eubacteriales; Clostridiaceae
Rfam family: transfer-messenger RNA
About the family: Bacterial tmRNA, also known as 10Sa RNA or SsrA, is named for its dual tRNA and mRNA-like properties. Its role is to liberate the mRNA from a stalled ribosome.
Source: Rfam
GGGGGCGUUUUGGCUUCGACGGGGGUAAGAUGGGUUUGAUAAGCGAGCCGGGGGAAGCAUGGUCCCACGAGAUCAACUAUGCAAUAAAGAUAAACGCAGAAGACAAUUUUGCAUUAGCAGCUUAAUAUAGUUGCUCAUCAGCCCAGGGUGCCCACGCCUUGGAUCACUGGUGUCAUUGAGUGGGAAACGAAGUUUAGCAAAGCUUUGAGCUAGAGGGGUAUUUAUGAAGCUACUGAAACAGGAAGUCUGUCUGUAGACGUCUUGUGGAGGGAAUCCUAAAUUACAGAAUGCGCUCGGAGAAAGUCAAGCUGGUCUGCUUUCGGACAGGGGUUCGAUACCCCUCGCCUCCACCA